GACGAACGCUGGCGGCGUGCCUAAUACAUGCAAGUUGAGCGAUGAAGAUUGGUGCUUGCACCAAUUUGAAGAGCAGCGAACGGGUGAGUAACGCGUGGGGAAUCUGCCUUUGAGCGGGGGACAACAUUUGGAACCGAAUGCUAAUACCGCAUAACAACUUUAAACAUAAGUUUUAAGUUUGAAAGAUGCAAUUGCAUCACUCAAAGAUGAUCCCGCGUUGUAUUAGCUAGUUGGUGAGGUAAAGGCUCACCAAGGCGAUGAUACAUAGCCGACCUGAGAGGGUGAUCGGCCACAUUGGGACUGAGACACGGCCCAAACUCCUACGGGAGGCAGCAGUAGGGAAUCUUCGGCAAUGGACGAAAGUCUGACCGAGCAACGCCGCGUGAGUGAAGAAGGUUUUCGGAUCGUAAAACUCUGUUGGUAGAGAAGAACGUUGGUGAGAGUGGAAAGCUCAUCAAGUGACGGUAACUACCCAGAAAGGGACGGCUAACUACGUG
This 497-nucleotide ribosomal RNA is filed under the name uncultured bacterium. Its description in RNAcentral is "partial 16S ribosomal RNA". It matches the Rfam family "Bacterial small subunit ribosomal RNA", at positions 28 to 507 of the family's 1533-position model. The record is from RNAcentral.